RNAcentral lists this small nuclear RNA (141 nucleotides) under Echinops telfairi (small Madagascar hedgehog). Its description in RNAcentral is "U1 spliceosomal RNA (ENSETEG00000023296.1)". It matches the Rfam family "U1 spliceosomal RNA", at positions 19 to 166 of the family's 166-position model. Rfam says of the family: U1 is a small nuclear RNA (snRNA) component of the spliceosome (involved in pre-mRNA splicing). Its 5' end forms complementary base pairs with the 5' splice junction, thus defining the 5' donor site of an intron. Lineage: Eukaryota; Metazoa; Chordata; Mammalia; Afrosoricida; Tenrecidae. The record is from RNAcentral.
AGAGUCAACGGGGGUGGUUUUCCCAGGGCAAGGCUCACCUAUUGCACUCCGGGUGGGCUGACCCCUGCGAUUUCCCCAAAUGUGGGAAACUCGACUGCAUAAUAUUGUGGUAGUGGGGGACUGCGUUCGCGCUAUCCCCUG